Molecule: long non-coding RNA, 4768 nt
Organism: Homo sapiens (human)
Lineage: Eukaryota; Metazoa; Chordata; Mammalia; Primates; Hominidae
Exons: 2
Source: RefSeq, a predicted model, not a curated record
CUGCCCUCCACCCUCUGCCCUCCGCUCUCCAGGUGGCUUUCCCCAGGACCAAGUGUGGUUCUGCCCUGGGAAGAGAAUGGAGCAAGGGUCUCCUGGCAGAAAUUAGGAACCCAGGACUUUACCCACCUUCAACCAGCCAAAUGGCCUCGGUCAAUCCUCUCGAACUGCAUACCUCAGUAUUCCCAUUUGUAUAAAGAGGGUCUCCAUGCUCUUUGAGGACCAGGAUCAGAUCUGACAAGUGCAAGGUUAAGGUCAGGCUUUCUGGUGACAGAAGGUGUGCAAGCUGACACAGGCUUGUAAUUAUUGCACCUGGCCAGGGUCAUCCUGAACACAGUCGUCACGCCUAACCAUCUCUAGGCAAGGAGAUGGGAAGGGCUUCGGUGGGCAAAGCUAAGGAGAAGGAAAGGGCUCGGUUGGAGGGAAGACUGGGCUCCGCUCCUGCCACUAGCUGCUGUGUGCUCUCUUGCCAGCUGCUCACCCUCUCUGAACCUUGUUCUUUGGCCUGCAGAACUGGCAUGGGGCUGCCACAAGGACGAUGAGCUACAAGCGACAGCAAUGGGCUUCUGCACAGACGGCCCUGCAGAAACCUCUGAGAUAGCACCCCCUGCGGUCCCCUGCCCACCACCACCCCACUUUGCUUUUCUUCCAAUUGAUCUCCACCUGACACAGUGCACGCCAAUGCUGGUCUCCCUCUCCUUGACCCAGGGGGAGGUGGGGAAGCUCCUGAGAGGGAACCCGCUGUUGUGUUCAAGGCUGUGUUUCUGGGGCACAUGAGGCCCGGGCUGGGUGAAGCUGUGAAGCUGUGCUGAAUGGAUGCAAGGCUUUCCAGGAAAGAUGGCAAGGGCACGAGGACGGCUCAGGAGGAGCAGGAGGGUGCCAGCAGAGGAGCCCAAGGACAGGAGAUCACAGAAGGCCCUGGCAGCCUGAGACGGGGGUGCUGUCCUCUUUGUAAGCUGCGCAGCUGCCUCGACCCCUGAGCAGGCACACAGCAGGUGCGGGUAGGGGUCCUUCCUCCUGGCACAGACAGCCCCACAGCCUAUGGGGCAGCAGAGCCUCCACCCCGGACACUCCUGCUCCUGGAUGCAGAGCGAGAGGUGGCUGCAGCCUUGCGGGAUGUCGCGCGGAGGCUGACGGGAGCACGGUUCACUGAGAGAGAGAAGCCAGCAGGCCUCAGCCAUGGAAGCCGGUGCCUGAUUGGUGCCCAGCUGUGAUUAGAGAGUCCUAUUUCAAUGUGGGCCCCUUAGGCUCAUGUCCAGAGGCCUCUGACUCAUGGAGAACUGUGCUCGGCACACCGUUUCUGGACCCUCUUGAAGGAUUAUCUGCUAGUCCUGGGGCCUGGGUACCAUGUUCUGCAUGGACAGCCAGGACUGGGAUGGAGCCUGGACCAGCCCCCGGAGCAGCUGAGCAUCUACCCAUCGGUUCAAAUAGAAGGACCCUGGAUGUCUGCCUUGGAUGGCCGGCCCAGCCCCCUGUGGGCUGAUGGGAGCUCCUCUUUCCAGGGUUCUGGGCCUGUCUCCAGAGCUGGAAGCGCUGAGGACUCCCAGCCCUGGCCAUGAUGGAUGACGAAGCCCACACCUGCCCACCCUGUCCAUCCUCCUGUGGUGGAUGCCCUUGUCUUCUCUCCGUGAUACCGUGGGCUUCCCCUGGCAGAGCCCUCAUCACAAAACUCUGAUGUUUACUCAUCUCCGCAGCAGGCCCCGGGGAGCAUCUCGCAGGCGGCCACCCCGCCAGAGCCACCGUCCUCUCUCAGUGCUGGGUCACUGCAUGCAUUCAGGGCUGAGUCUCCACUCCCCACAUCUGCCUUUAGAGUCAGAAAAUCACCCACUGGCAUUAACCAAGGCCCCCGAGUCAGUUCUAGGGCUGGAAGGACCUCCUGAGACCCACCUGUGCUCAUUCACUUAUCCGCUCAUCACUCACUCAUCCGCUCAUCACUCACUCAUCCACUCAUCAUUCAUUCAGCAGUGGUUGUGGGUCAGUGACACACCCAGCCCCGAGCCAGAUGCUGCAGGUACAUAGCUCAGGAAAGUGAUGCAAUCCCUGAAUGCCUGGCCUUGGUGUGCCGAGAGACAAGUGAAAUUUUCCCAGGGCCACGGUGGGAUUCAGAAGGUGCAGCGUGCCCUGCCAGGGGGAGAUGGCAGAGGCAUGACUGUCCGGGGCAGACAAGACAGAAGGAUGAGUGGCAGUUAGUAGGAAAAUACACGUGUCCAGGGCAGAGACUCUGGCCCUAGGAGGCCUGGGGGUGGCAGGGUGAGUGCCCAGGAGGGGGACGUGCCUGGCACUCACACAAUGAGUCGGGCAGGGAACGCGGCUGGACCCAGAGGGCCUGGAGGCUGUGAGGAGGGUGAUCUGCCCCUCUCUGUAACAGGACAGCCCAGGAGGGUCUGUGCUCAGGGGUGCCACAUGCCCCUUAUGCUCCAUCUCACGGCUGGUGCCAGCAGACCUGGACUCUUCCAGCUUCCCCAAGCGGUGCGGGACUGCCCGGGAUAGAGAAGCAUGCAGCGACCUUCCAGGCUGCAGCAGCAGAGGGGUGGGGGUGGCUGGGCCUGCGUGGUGGCCGCAGGGGAGAGGGACGUGGAUGGAGGUGAAAUGGACAGGUGUGUGGAUUGCAAGGCAGCCUGGAUGUGGGUGUGGGGGGCGUCAUGGUCUUCCCUGCCACUGCAGACGAGGCAGCAGGCUCCUGGGGAAGCUGGAAGAGGCAGAACUGGGCUGCUCUGUUCUGAGGGCUUCUGCCCAGAGUUCCAAGUUCCAGGAGCUUCUAGGGGCUGGGGCCUGCCUGCAUAGUGAGGGGAUGAGUCCAGGUCUGCGGCACAUGGCCUCUGCCGUCGGCCUUGCUCUCAGUGCAGAGCCGGCCUCGUCCUCAUUGUGUGGCUCAGGAGAUGGAGGCCCAGAGAGGCGAGGCUGGCACCUGCACAGGCCAGCUGCAUAACCCAGGUCCAAUUCCAGGUCCCAGAGCCAGGCUGCAUGUUGACCCACUGCCAGGGAUGACGGGCAGACUGCUACUCCCAACAGUGCCUCAGCUUUGUCACCUGGAGGGCAGGAGGGCAACAGGACCUGCUUGGAAGCUGAGAGUCCACAUGCCCAGCAGGCAUCCCGCCCUCCUCCGCCUCUUGACAAAGCAGGCCGGUCAUGCUUCUGACACCAGGGCCGUGAGGAACGGCGUCCCCCUCCCUGGGUCCGUAGGCCUUUGACAGGUGGGGAUGCCUGUCCCUGCUGGGCCCCAGGUUUGUAUUUGCAGCCACAGAGCAGAGCAGGGAAGAGCCAAACUGACCCACCAGGAACCUCAGCUCUUCCCUGUCUGGGUCCUGCCCUGACCACAUCCGUCACUGUCAACACCGGGAGGAGAGUGUGCGGCAGCCCACGCUCCCUGAUGGCAGCCUUCCCCAGAGAGCCAGGCCCACCCCACCGACCCCAGCCUGGGGUCUCUCAAAGGCUCUGGGCACUGCCUUGGCUGAAGCCAGUCCUGAGCUCCAACUUAGGGACAGAACCGGCCCACCUUGGUGGAUGGGGCUUGGCAACCUCCCAGAUUCCCGAACACCCCCAUAGGCCCCUUUCAGCCUCAGGUUUGGAGAGGCAGAGGGGGAAAGGUCCCAGCUAGCCAGCCAGGGGCAGGGAGAAGGUGUGCUGGUCUGGUCAGUUACCUCCCUGACUUCCUCAUCCAUGUGGCAGCUGAAGCCUGUGACAGGAAGAGGCAAAACAAAAACCAAACCUGUCCCUAAAGGUUAAGCUUAUUGGUCCUUACGUGGGGGUGUAAAGUGUUUUAUUCAGGUAAGCUGACGCAUCCUGUUAGCUGAGCUAAACCAGACAGAGCUGACUGGAGGAGGCAGGGCUGAUUUGAAAGAUGAACCUCCAGCCGAGAGCGCCUGUGAGGAUGCUUGGGGGCAUCAGGAUCUUCCUCCUGCAAAGCUGCAGGUCCUCAUGUGCCUGAUGCUCUCCCACUAAUGGUUAGCUCUGUGACCUCCUCCAGGUUGCCUCAGUUACCUCAAAUGUAAAAUGCAGAAUGAAGUCCCCCCUCCCCACCGCAGAUGGGACACAGGUGAAGAAAGGUGGUCCGGUGACCUGCCCCAUCCCAGGUGGCUCUUACUGAAGGUCGGCUUCUAUUGUUAGGCCACGUGCACGUCCUUUACCUGGAAGAUGAUUGAAACCUGCACCUGGACAGUGCUACCAGCUGUGGGCCACCAGCUCUGCAGGGACCCAAGGCCCCAGUGCAGGCUCAGAACGAGGCAGAGACAGUACCGUGAACUGCUCCAGGCAUCCACAUUCUCAGGGACCAAUCACCCUCCUCCGUGCCUGUUUGGGCCAUCAUGGGAGCGAUUCAGGGCUGCUCAGGCCUUGGUCCUCUUGUCCUAAGGGAAGAAAGCUGAAAAUACCUAGAUGUCUAGAUGGCCCUGGAUCCACAACAGUCUCCAUCAGGAGCACAGGAGCUGUGCAUGACCACACCACCGAUUUCCUCUUGGGAGACUUCUAGGGGUGGGGGGCUGUGGUAGCAAAUACAGAGUGUGUAUUACCCCAGCGUUAACCACGCAACUCCUAGCCUGGAACACUUAAAAGAGGAACCUGCCACCCUCCAUGAGGCUGGAGAAUCAGCGGGAGUUUCCAAAAGGCAGCUUUGGUUUAAACCACAAGAUAAUGGAGGGAUUUGCAUUUUGCUGAAGAAACCCCAAAGUGCCCUCCGACAUUGUUUCAGUUCUGAUUUUUUGUUCCUUUUUGAACGUCUCCUCUUGAAGCAAUUUCUGGCCAAAUCACACAAAUAAAGAGCUAGAGAAACGGG